CUACGGGGCGCUGCAGUGAGGAAUUUUGCGCAAUGGGGGAAACCCUGACGCAGCAACGCCGCGUGAGUGAUGAAGGCUUUCGAGUCGUAAAGCUCUGUCAAGUGGGAAGAACCUACUAAGUGCCAAUACCACUUAGUACUGACGGUACCACUGAAGGAAGCACCGGCUAACUCCGUGCCAGCAGCCGCGGUAAUACGGGGGGUGCAAGCGUUACUCGGAAUUAUUGGGCGUAAAGGGCGCGCAGGCGGCCAGGUAAGUCAGAGGUGAAAGCCCGGGGCUCAACCCCGGAAGUGCAUUUGAAACUACUUGGCUUGAGUAUGGGAGAGGGAAGUGGAAUUCCUGGUGUAGAGGUGAAAUUCGUAGAUAUCAGGAGGAACACCGGUGGCGAAGGCGACUUCCUGGACCAAUACUGACGCUGAGGCGCGAAGGCGUGGGUAGCAAACAGGAUUAGAUACCCUAGUAGUC
RNAcentral lists this ribosomal RNA (465 nucleotides) under uncultured bacterium. RNAcentral describes it as "partial 16S ribosomal RNA". It matches the Rfam family "Bacterial small subunit ribosomal RNA", at positions 339 to 795 of the family's 1533-position model. The record is from RNAcentral.